CAAACCCUAGCCACCGCAAAAGUCAGAGCCGCCCCCCUCCCUUUGCGAUAUCCAUCUGCUAUGCAGCAGCAGAAGCAUUAUCCGAUAGAUUUUCCACCAGAUUCUUCAUUGCCAUCAUCGGCGCGCCUCUCCACGAAUCCACAGGCCAAGGCACCGUCGGCGCCGCAUCAGGUAGAUGAUGACGAUGCAGUCGCCGGAAGCUGGGCACGACAGCCGGCGAGGAUGAGUCGCGUCCUUCCUUGUUCACCAUCCUGUCUUCUGUUUUGCCAUCGUUUCGUGUUUUUCUUCUUCAGAUCUACAAAUCCUGUGCCGCAAAUCACAAGCCAGAUGCAGUUUUUUUUUAUAGAUGAAAUUCAGAUUUUUUCAGAUCUGGUGAUGCCCCCCAGACGGUCGCAUCCAUUUGAUGUUUCCAUUUUCAAGCUAAGAUGGAUCCAGUAUGUGUGCGCAGAAACAAUGGAUCUAGCGUGUGUCACUAUGUCUGAGUUGAUUGUUUUCUAGUAAAUCUUCUGCCUCUCACUUCUUAAUAAUUCCGUUUUUCACUCUUCUUGUUCUAAGAGGGUUUCUUCAUGCUUCCAAUGUUUUUUCUUCCAACUCGCUCUGCCUUAGAUGUCAUAUAUAUGAUAUGACUGCCGUAGACAUGUCUCUGUUAUAACUUCCUCGUUGAUUUUUUUUCAACUGCCUUAGGCGUUUGAAACUUCUUCAUUCAUUCAUUGCCCCAAGCAGAGCUGAUCCCUUGGCUUGUUUCUUGAUUGGUUGGUUUGUUGCAGAUCUGGGUGCUUAGACCUCUUUUCUUCUUUUCAUGUCGUAUCCCACAGAAAAUGAGUUAUAAUUUGCUCCGCGUCAUUUCAGUAUGAGAUUUCCUCUUCGUGAUUUCAGUAUGAGCUGCUUCGGCUAUCAGAUUUGUAUUCUCUGUUUAAAGAUAUUUCUGCAGAUUGCUCAGACUUUCGUCAUGCUUCUAAUAAUUUGUUUCGUUAAAUAUUGCCUGACGUCUCUGGAGCAUUAUGUACUUAUGCUCCUGGCACUAGUCUUCCAUGUCCGAUGGCACGGCAAGGACCUACUUUGACUGAUGUUUAUCAGCAACCCGCCUUGGAGUUGAAUGUAGUGCUCGUAUGUGAAUUUGUUCAUACUGAAUUUGUGCUCCAUGAUGAUGUGUCGAUGUGCAAGCUGUUGUAUUGUCUGUCUUUCAUGCUUCGUCAUGCGGUGUACAUUCAUCAUUCAAGAAGGGUAUUUUAUUAGUGCAGCUGAUGCCUAAACUAUUUCUAGUUGUA
Long non-coding RNA from Hordeum vulgare subsp. vulgare (domesticated barley), 1268 nucleotides. RefSeq lists it as uncharacterized. The transcript has 2 exons. Lineage: Eukaryota; Viridiplantae; Streptophyta; Magnoliopsida; Poales; Poaceae. The record is from RefSeq and is a predicted model, not a curated record.